Molecule: ribosomal RNA, 492 nt
Filed under: uncultured bacterium
Lineage: Bacteria
Description: partial 16S ribosomal RNA
Rfam family: Bacterial small subunit ribosomal RNA
Source: RNAcentral
AGUGAACGCUGGCGGUAGGCCUAACACAUGCAAGUCGAACGGCAGCACAGUAAGAGCUUGCUCUUACGGGUGGCGAGUGGCGGACGGGUGAGGAAUACAUCGGAAUCUACUUUUUCGUGGGGGAUAACGUAGGGAAACUUACGCUAAUACCGCAUACGACCUACGGGUGAAAGCAGGGGAUCUUCGGACCUUGCGCGAUUGAAUGAGCCGAUGUCGGAUUAGCUAGUUGGCGGGGUAAAGGCCCACCAAGGCGACGAUCCGUAGCUGGUCUGAGAGGAUGAUCAGCCACAUUGGAACUGAGACACGGUCCUGGCUCCUACGGGAGGCAGCAGUGGGGAAUAUUGGGCAAUGGGCGCAAGCCUGACCCAGCCAUACCGCGUGGGUGAAGAAGGCCUUCGGGUUGUAAAGCCCUUUUGUUGGGAAAGAAAAGCAGCAGGUUAAUACCCCGCUGUUCUGACGGUAACCAAAGAAUAAGCACCGGCUAACUUCGUG